RNAcentral lists this long non-coding RNA (2375 nucleotides) under Medicago truncatula (barrel medic). RNAcentral describes it as "long non-coding RNA (MTRU_LNC006933)". Lineage: Eukaryota; Viridiplantae; Streptophyta; Magnoliopsida; Fabales; Fabaceae. The record is from RNAcentral.
AGCGGGGUCUUAUUCUCUCGUAGACUUGUUAUAUCCCUCCACCUAUUGAGUUGCACCCGGUUGUCACACGGUUAUCCUUAUGUGUGGAGUCUUAUUCCCUCAGGGUAGGUUAAACAUAAACUUAAAUUGAAGUUCGUAAAUUUCCAAAGGUAUGACUAGCAAGUGUUACUAAAGGUUCUAGCAUCUAUGCAUCUUAGAAGUACAUAGCACACUCUCCCUCUCGGUAGUUCUACACACGGGCAGCCCUAUUAGCAUCUACCUUAUCAAGGUGCGAGGAGAAUGAAGUUAUUGGGCUGAUUUAAGUCAUGAAGUCACUUGUUUCCUUAAUUACUAACUAGUUACUACCUGCUUUCAACAGUUGUUCAUGAAUAUUAGGUAUGAUACCUCCCUAAGUACUUUCUAUCAAGGUAUGCUUGUUUUCGGUUUGUUUCGCUAGUUACUAAUUAAUUACUUCAUGGUUAGACAGGUAUAAAUAUUAAGAUAUGAAUAUCAUUGUUAGGCCAUGUCACUACCUAAGUGCCUAUUUCAGGUCAUGCUUUAUAGCAUACAACUCUUACGCACAAUAAAACUAAAUAGCGAAAAAAAAAACUGAAUAAAAGACUUUAAAUUGAAUAAUCAUAGCAAAGAAAAGAUUUAGCUAGAAUUAUUUUAAUUAUUUAUUAUAUGUGUUCAUAUGUGUCUAGGUGUGCUUAUUUGUCACUGUGUAUAUUUUAUUCCGGAUUAGUGGAUUUUUGGCCUAGAAAGGUAUUUUAGUCAUUUUUAGACUAAGGGGUAUUUUGGUCAUUUGACGAUGAAGGAUAAAGUAGUCAUUUUUAUUAAGAAGGUUAUUUUUGGUAUUUUAGUGAGGAUCGUUAAUUUUAUUAAGUUAAUAGUAAGUUGUAGUAAUUAUUUAAAGAUGGUAAUUAUUCGGUGUUUUGAUGGUUUAUAUGAGUAGUAACUUUUUAUGAAUUAGUUAGUAAGUAUGUUGAGCCCAUUAAAACAAUUAGAAACGUAUCCCAAUUAGAAGGUGGUAUAUAAACAUAAGUCUUGUGAGAAAAAUUGAGUAAAUAGUCAAUUUCCCGCCUAAAAUUGUAAGUUUCGUCAAUUACCCCCCGAAAUUAACAAAACUUCAAUUACCCCCUUGAAAUUGCAUAACAUUAAUCAAUUUACCUCUACGUCAGAUUUUUCUGUUAACUGUUUACGGUUAUGAUCAAAUACCCCCUGAAAUUUUGCACUUAUGUGCAAAAUGCCCCCUAAACUUAAAAAUUUAGAUUGAUUUUUCUUACCAAAAAUCAUACAUUUAGUUCUUCAAGUAGUAUAUUGUACCUAUUGUCAUAAAAAUUAUAUUCACAAGAAAAUGAAUGAAUAUAUGCCAAAGAAAUCAUGAUUUUGUCAUGUGCAGCCUUUUCAUUCAUAUUUCAUAUUUAUCAACAAGCAUUGUUUCUUCUUCCUCCUGCAGAUAUUAACCUAUGAAUUUUCUUUAUAGACACACAAUUAUCAAAGACUUGUGUACUUUAUGACUGCAUACUCUAACAUAACUAUCAACUUGUGUAAAAAAAAGUCUUCUAUAUAUGUAUAUAUUUAAAACACAUGAGAGUAACAUACCUUCCAUAAAGAUUUAUAAUGCUAUAUGGUACGAAAAAAUGCAUGUACGGAAAUAGACGAAUGCCCAACUUGUCCAAUUAUUAUGAAAUUAAAAACUGAUAUAGUAUGCUUUGACGGAAAUCAUGGGUAAUGACUAAUAAAAAUCUUGGCAAUUAUAACAUGAGAAGUAUUGAGAACAGCCAAUUUACGGAAUACAUGGCUGAAUGGCAAGCAAUAACUACUUUCGUUAAUUUUCAUGCUCACCGUCCCGUACUAUUUAUCAUUAUCCAAGAUUUAUAUGACCAAUAGCUGCAUAAACAUACAUUCCAUAUAUAUUUAUAUGAUCAAUAAUUGUUAAUUUGUUUGUCUUUAAUAUCUUUUGAGUCAAGGAUAAAAAAAAAAAAAAAAAUUUUAAAGUUUAGGGGGCAUUUUGCACAUAAGUGCAAAAUUUAAGGGGGGUAUUUGAUCAUAACUGUAAACAAUUAACAGAAAAAUUUAACGGAGGGGGUAAAUUGAUUAACGUUAUGCAAUUUCAGGGGAGGUAAUUGAAGUGCUGUUAAUUUUAGGGAGGUAAUUGACGAAACCUACAAUUUCAGGGGGGAAAUUGACUAUUUACUCGAGAAAAAUUAGGUUAACAAAUUCAUUCACUUUGCAAAAUAUUUUGAAAGGUAGAGAGAGAAAGUAGAUCAAGACUUGGAGAAGAGGAAAUAGAAGAAAAAGGUUUAGAGAGAUGAAAAGCUUGAAGAUAGGAAGAGGCUAGAGACUUGGGGGAGCUAAAUUGAAGCCAUAGUUGGUGCUAGAGAAUCCUAGAG